UUAAGCGACUAAGCGUACACGGUGGAUGCCCUGGCAGUCAGAGGCGAUGAAGGACGUGCUAAUCUGCGAUAAGCGCCGGUAAGGUGAUAUGAACCGUUAUAACCGGCGAUUUCCGAAUGGGGAAACCCAGUGUGACUCGUCACACUAUCAUUAACUGAAUCCAUAGGUUAAUGAGGCGAACCGGGGGAACUGAAACAUCUAAGUACCCCGAGGAAAAGAAAUCAACCGAGAUUCCCCCAGUAGCGGCGAGCGAACGGGGAGGAGCCCAGAGCCUGAAUCAGCAUGUGUGUUAGUGGAAGCGUCUGGAAAGGCGCGCGAUACAGGGUGACAGCCCCGUACACAAAAGCGCAUGUGCUGUGAGCUCGAUGAGUAGGGCGGGACACGUGGUAUCCUGUCUGAAUAUGGGGGGACCAUCCUCCAAGGCUAAAUACUCCUGACUGACCGAUAGUGAACCAGUACCGUGAGGGAAAGGCGAAAAGAACCCCGGCGAGGGGAGUGAAAAAGAACCUGAAACCGUGUACGUACAAGCAGUGGGAGCACCCUUUGGGGUGUGACUGCGUACCUUUUGUAUAAUGGGUCAGCGACUUAUAUUCUGUAGCAAGGUUAACCGAAUAGGGGAGCCGGAGGGAAACCGAGUCUUAAUUGGGCGUUAAGUUGCAGGGUAUAGACCCGAAACCCGGUGAUCUAGCCAUGGGCAGGUUGAAGGUUGGGUAACACUAACUGGAGGACCGAACCGACUAAUGUUGAAAAAUUAGCGGAUGACCUGUGGCUGGGGGUGAAAGGCCAAUCAAACCGGGAGAUAGCUGGUUCUCCCCGAAAGCUAUUUAGGUAGCGCCUCGUGAAUUCAUCUCCGGGGGUAGAGCACUGUUUCGGCUAGGGGGCCAUCCCGGCUUACCAACCCGAUGCAAACUGCGAAUACCGGAGAAUGUUAUCACGGGAGACACACGGCGGGUGCUAACGUCCGUCGUGAAGAGGGAAACAACCCAGACCGCCAGCUAAGGUCCCAAAGUCAUGGUUAAGUGGGAAACGAUGUGGGAAGGCCCAGACAGCCAGGAUGUUGGCUUAGAAGCAGCCAUCAUUUAAAGAAAGCGUAAUAGCUCACUGGUCGAGUCGGCCUGCGCGGAAGAUGUAACGGGGCUAAACCAUGCACCGAAGCUGCGGCAGCGACACUAUGUGUUGUUGGGUAGGGGAGCGUUCUGUAAGCCUGCGAAGGUGACCUGUGAGGGUUGCUGGAGGUAUCAGAAGUGCGAAUGCUGACAUAAGUAACGAUAAAGCGGGUGAAAAGCCCGCUCGCCGGAAGACCAAGGGUUCCUGUCCAACGUUAAUCGGGGCAGGGUGAGUCGACCCCUAAGGCGAGGCCGAAAGGCGUAGUCGAUGGGAAACGGGUUAAUAUUCCCGUACUUGGUGUUACUGCGAAGGGGGGACGGAGAAGGCUAUGUUGGCCGGGCGACGGUUGUCCCGGUUUAAGCGUGUAGGUGUGUGUUCCAGGUAAAUCCGGUUCACUUUAACACUGAGGCGUGAUGACGAGGCACUACGGUGCUGAAGCAACAAAUGCCCUGCUUCCAGGAAAAGCCUCUAAGCAUCAGGUAACAUCAAAUCGUACCCCAAACCGACACAGGUGGUCAGGUAGAGAAUACCAAGGCGCUUGAGAGAACUCGGGUGAAGGAACUAGGCAAAAUGGUGCCGUAACUUCGGGAGAAGGCACGCUGACAUGUAGGUGAAGUGAUUUACUCAUGGAGCUGAAGUCAGUCGAAGAUACCAGCUGGCUGCAACUGUUUAUUAAAAACACAGCACUGUGCAAACACGAAAGUGGACGUAUACGGUGUGACGCCUGCCCGGUGCCGGAAGGUUAAUUGAUGGGGUCAGCGCAAGCGAAGCUCCUGAUCGAAGCCCCGGUAAACGGCGGCCGUAACUAUAACGGUCCUAAGGUAGCGAAAUUCCUUGUCGGGUAAGUUCCGACCUGCACGAAUGGCGUAAUGAUGGCCAGGCUGUCUCCACCCGAGACUCAGUGAAAUUGAACUCGCUGUGAAGAUGCAGUGUACCCGCGGCAAGACGGAAAGACCCCGUGAACCUUUACUAUAGCUUGACACUGAACAUUGAGCCUUGAUGUGUAGGAUAGGUGGGAGGCUUUGAAGUGUGGACGCCAGUCUGCAUGGAGCCGGCCUUGAAAUACCACCCUUUAAUGUUUGAUGUUCUAACGUGGACCCGUGAUCCGGGUUGCGGACAGUGUCUGGUGGGUAGUUUGACUGGGGCGGUCUCCUCCUAAAGAGUAACGGAGGAGCACGAAGGUUGGCUAAUCCUGGUCGGACAUCAGGAGGUUAGUGCAAUGGCAUAAGCCAGCUUGACUGCGAGCGUGACGGCGCGAGCAGGUGCGAAAGCAGGUCAUAGUGAUCCGGUGGUUCUGAAUGGAAGGGCCAUCGCUCAACGGAUAAAAGGUACUCCGGGGAUAACAGGCUGAUACCGCCCAAGAGUUCAUAUCGACGGCGGUGUUUGGCACCUCGAUGUCGGCUCAUCACAUCCUGGGGCUGAAGUAGGUCCCAAGGGUAUGGCUGUUCGCCAUUUAAAGUGGUACGCGAGCUGGGUUUAGAACGUCGUGAGACAGUUCGGUCCCUAUCUGCCGUGGGCGCUGGAGAACUGAGGGGGGCUGCUCCUAGUACGAGAGGACCGGAGUGGACGCAUCACUGGUGUUCGGGUUGUCAUGCCAAUGGCACUGCCCGGUAGCUAAAUGCGGAAGAGAUAAGUGCUGAAAGCAUCUAAGCACGAAACUUGCCCCGAGAUGAGUUCUCCCUGAGACUUAGAGUCUCCUGAAGGAACGUUGAAGACGACGACGUUGAUAGGCCGGGUGUGUAAGCGCAGCGAUGCGUUGAGCUAACCGGUACUAAUGAACCGUGAGGCUUAACCUU
Molecule: ribosomal RNA, 2903 nt
Filed under: Salmonella enterica
Lineage: Bacteria; Pseudomonadati; Pseudomonadota; Gammaproteobacteria; Enterobacterales; Enterobacteriaceae
Description: bacterial LSU rRNA
Rfam family: Bacterial large subunit ribosomal RNA
Source: RNAcentral